Molecule: long non-coding RNA, 519 nt
Filed under: Bos taurus (domestic cattle)
Lineage: Eukaryota; Metazoa; Chordata; Mammalia; Artiodactyla; Bovidae
Description: long non-coding RNA NONBTAT013596
Source: RNAcentral
CCUGGUACUAAGGGCUUUCAAAUGUCAUCUUGUAACACUGUGUAGUUUAAAAUCACUUUCAUCUUUUUUUAAAAAAAGAAAAGAUAAAAAGCGGUUCUGCUGUAUCUGAAACUGCCUUUGUUUCCCUAAUCCUCAGAGAAAAACACCUGGUAAAGCUACAUUAGUCCCAAACAGCAUUUAUGUUAAUGAUGAAGCACAGGGCAAACAAAGGUUUAUGGAGUUGUUCCCACAUGGACUCAUCACAGAACUUUUUUUCCCCAGAAAAAUUCAUGCAGAGACAAUCUUGAAUAAUCAAGGAUUAACUAAGUAUAAAAGUUCGCUUUAAUAGAUUAGGAUUUUGUACCAGUUUCAGAACCUGGAGGAGGAAGAACAAAUAAAAAUAAUAAAGAAUUAGGGGCUUGGGGGACGAGAGGGGGAGAAAUGCAAGUUCAUUCCUAAAUAAAAUACUUGAUGAAAGUAUUUGUCAGUGUUUGUACUUCUAGCUCACAACACUGCGGUCCUCCAAUCAGAUUGAGAAAA